UCGGAAUAUUGGGCGUAAAGAGCUCGUAGGCGGUUUGUCGCGUCUGCUGUGAAAUCUGGGGGCUCAACCCCCAGCCUGCAGUGGGUACGGGCAGACUAGAGUGCGGUAGGGGAGAUUGGAAUUCCUGGUGUAGCGGUGGAAUGCGCAGAUAUCAGGAGGAACACCGAUGGCGAAGGCAGAUCUCUGGGCCGUAACUGACGCUGAGGAGCGAAAGCAUGGGGAGCGAACAGGAUUAGAUACCCUGGUAGUCCAUGCCGUAAACGUUGGGAACUAGAUGUGGGGGCCAUUCCACGGUCUCCGUGUCGCAGCUAACGCAUUAAGUUCCCCGCCUGGGGAGUACGGCCGCAAGGCUAAAACUCAAAGGAAUUGACGGGGGCCCGCACAAGCGGCGGAGCAUGCGGAUUAAUUCGAUGCAACGCGAAGAACCUUACCAAGGCUUGACAUAUACCGGAAACGUCCAGAGAUGGUCGCCCCGCAAGGUCGGUAUACAGGUGGUGCAUGGUUGUCGUC
This 510-nucleotide ribosomal RNA is filed under the name actinobacterium G7A1. Its description in RNAcentral is "bacterial SSU rRNA". It matches the Rfam family "Bacterial small subunit ribosomal RNA", at positions 545 to 1056 of the family's 1533-position model. Lineage: Bacteria; Bacillati; Actinomycetota; Actinomycetes. The record is from RNAcentral.